Non-coding RNA from Odocoileus virginianus texanus, 641 nucleotides. The record is from RefSeq and is a predicted model, not a curated record. NCBI's taxonomy places the organism in Eukaryota, Metazoa, Chordata, Mammalia, Artiodactyla, Cervidae.
AACCUUACACUUCCUGAAUUUUCUGAAACACAGACUCCAGCCCUUCAACGCCCUCCCGGCUGUCUACAAUAUUCUCAAAUCUCUGAGAGCUAGAGAUGAAACUAUCCUGUGAUGAAACUGAAGCUCAGGGAAGCUAAGACAUUGGAGAAGUGUACCACUUCCUUGUCUAGAGAGUCGACUGACAACCUGAAAAUUAACACCGGAGCGUGAAGGGAGAUGGCAGAGGAGCUCAGUGAGCUAUGGGGCUUCUCAUGAGUGGAGCUUUGUUGUAAAACCACUCACAAGGGAUCAGCAGCCGUCAAUUUCCCCAUUCUCCACCACCUUCUUAAGACUCUGAAAAUAACCGAUUAAUUGAUCAAGUCAACACAGUGAUCCAAUAAUUCAUUAAAGUGACGAAAACAAAUCUUUGGAAAAUCGAGCUGGUGACAGAUAGAAAGCCAGUGAUUUAUUGUCUGGAGAGGAAUAAGUGUCUCCCGUUCCAUUCCUCAGUCUGUUGAGUGAAUCGAAGUGUGCAGUAAGUACAAGGCUUUGUUUGACAGAUGCUGUUCCUUCAACCUGUAUCCUGAAAUGAGAAUUUAUGUGGAAUAGAGCUGAAGAUCUGUGACUCCAAGCAAAUAAAGAAAUGGUGAAAUAAAGCUAAG